UACGGAGGGUGCAAGCGUUAUCCGGAUUUAUUGGGUUUAAAGGGUCCGUAGGCGGGCCGAUAAGUCAGUGGUGAAAUCUCGCAGCUUAACUGUGAAACUGCCAUUGAUACUGUUGGUCUUGAGUAAAUUUGAAGUGGCUGGAAUAAGUAGUGUAGCGGUGAAAUGCAUAGAUAUUACUUAGAACACCAAUUGCGAAGGCAGGUCACUAAGAUUUAACUGACGCUGAUGGACGAAAGCGUGGGUAGCGAACAGGAUUAGAUACCCUGGUAGUCCACGCCGUAAACGAUGCUAACUCGUUUUUGGGCACUUGUGCUCAGAGACCAAGCGAAAGUGAUAAGUUAGCCACCUGGGGAGUACGAUCGCAAGAUUGAAACUCAAAG
RNAcentral lists this ribosomal RNA (380 nucleotides) under uncultured bacterium. RNAcentral describes it as "bacterial SSU rRNA". It matches the Rfam family "Bacterial small subunit ribosomal RNA", at positions 524 to 906 of the family's 1533-position model. The record is from RNAcentral.